UUAAAUUGAAGAGUUUGAUCAUGGCUCAGAUUGAACGCUGGCGGCAGGCCUAACACAUGCAAGUCGAACGGUAACAGAAAGCAGCUUGCUGCUUUGCUGACGAGUGGCGGACGGGUGAGUAAUGUCUGGGAAACUGCCCGAUGGAGGGGGAUAACUACUGGAAACGGUAGCUAAUACCGCAUAACGUCGCAAGACCAAAGAGGGGGACCUUCGGGCCUCUUGCCAUCGGAU
This 231-nucleotide ribosomal RNA is filed under the name Escherichia coli. RNAcentral describes it as "partial 16S ribosomal RNA". It matches the Rfam family "Bacterial small subunit ribosomal RNA", at positions 1 to 226 of the family's 1533-position model. Lineage: Bacteria; Pseudomonadati; Pseudomonadota; Gammaproteobacteria; Enterobacterales; Enterobacteriaceae. The record is from RNAcentral.